This 413-nucleotide unclassified non-coding RNA is filed under the name Bombus terrestris (buff-tailed bumblebee). RNAcentral's name for it is "misc RNA ENSBTSG00005024615.1". The record is from RNAcentral. Lineage: Eukaryota; Metazoa; Arthropoda; Insecta; Hymenoptera; Apidae.
UGCGGAUCGCUGUUCAGUGCGAAAAUGCCGUUAAACGCAGUUGAAUCGCCAUGAAAGGAUUCUCUUCCUGGUCUUGGCAAAAAGCCGCGUUUUAAGGCUGCUAACCGGACAAGUGGACACGCAAGGACCGACUAUACACUGGCCAUGCCAGCGGAGUAUUUUUGCGGAGCGGAGAUACGAGAUUCUAGUGGACAGAAGACGAUUCAGAACUUCCCUUUCUACGGCGUUUAUACGGAAAGAAAGCAUCCACCACAGUUUGGAACUUGCGAUACAUAUGAACUUGCAUUCUAUUCUGCACGGAAAUAAAAAGAUAAAGAAUACCAGAAAGAGAAUACCAAAUGUCUCGAGUCGUAGUCGAGUUUUACAACAAUCACCAAGAAGCACCUGUGGCAAGUGCAGAAACCCAUCCAGAG